RNAcentral lists this ribosomal RNA (460 nucleotides) under uncultured bacterium. RNAcentral's name for it is "partial 16S ribosomal RNA". It matches the Rfam family "Bacterial small subunit ribosomal RNA", at positions 338 to 795 of the family's 1533-position model. The record is from RNAcentral.
CCUACGGGAGGCAGCAGUGAGGAAUAUUGGGCAAUGGACGAGAGUCUGAACCAGCCAAGUAGCGUGAAGGAUGACUGCCCUAUGGGUUGUAACCUUCUUUUAUAUGGGAAUAAAAUGUUCCACGUGCGGGAUUGUGUAUGUACCAUAUGAAUAAGGAACGGCUAACUCCGUGCCAGCAGCCGCGGUAAUACGGAGGAUCCGAGCGUUAUCCGGAUUUGUUGGGUGUAAAGGGAGCGUAGGUGGAUUGUUAAGUCAGUUGUGAAAGUUUGCGGCUCAACCGUAAAAUUGCAGUUGAAACUGGCAGUCUUGAGUACAGUAGAGGUGAGCGGAAUUCGUGGUGUAGCGGUGAAAUGCUUAGAUAUCACGAAGAACUCCAGUGGCGAAGGCAGUUCACUGGACUGCAACUGACGCUGAGGCGCGAAAGUGUGGGUAUCAAACAGGAUUAGAUACCCGAGUAGUC